Molecule: transfer RNA, 71 nt
Filed under: Marmota monax (woodchuck)
Lineage: Eukaryota; Metazoa; Chordata; Mammalia; Rodentia; Sciuridae
Description: tRNA.Ala
Source: RNAcentral
GAGGUUGUGGCUCAAUGGUGGAGCACUUGCCUAGCAUGUGUGAGGUACUGGGUUUGAUCCUCAGCACCACA